RNAcentral lists this ribosomal RNA (501 nucleotides) under uncultured bacterium. Its description in RNAcentral is "bacterial SSU rRNA". It matches the Rfam family "Bacterial small subunit ribosomal RNA", at positions 28 to 524 of the family's 1533-position model. The record is from RNAcentral.
GAUAAACGCUAGUGGCAGGCUUAAUACAUGCAAGUCGUGGGGCAGCAGGGGUAGCAAUACCCGCUGGCGACCGGCAAACAGGUGCGGAACACGUACGCAACUUUCCUUUAACUGGAGAAUAGCCCCUCGAAAGAGGGAUUAAUACUCCGUACAUAUACAUGUGGCAUCACAAGUAUAUUAUAGCUCCGGCGGUUAAAGAUGGGCGUGCGCCUGAUUAGAUAGUUGGCGGGGUAACGGCCCACCAAGUCUGCGAUCAGUAACUGGUGUGAGAGCACGACCAGUCACACGGGCACUGAGACACGGGCCCGACACCUACGGGAGGCAGCAGUAAGGAAUAUUGGUCAAUGGACGCAAGUCUGAACCAGCCAUGCCGCGUGGAGGAUUAAGGCCCUCUGGGUUGUAAACUCCUUUUAUCUGGGAAGAAAUCCGGGAAUUCUUUUCCGGGUUGACGGUACCAGAGGAAUAAGCACCGGCUAACUCCGUGCCAGCCGCCGCCGUAAC